This 179-nucleotide unclassified non-coding RNA is filed under the name fungal sp. RNAcentral describes it as "partial internal transcribed spacer region". The stretch from base 1 to 46 matches the Rfam family "Eukaryotic small subunit ribosomal RNA", at positions 1786 to 1831 of the family's 1831-position model. The record is from RNAcentral. Lineage: Eukaryota; Fungi.
AAGUCGUAACAAGGUUUCCGUAGGUGAACCUGCGGAAGGAUCAUUAAAAAUUUAUAUCCGGGAAUUCGUUUCGUUUUCCCGUGAUUUAUUUGUAUUCAAAUCCCACUCUUUAUAAAUAUAUUAAUUAUAUAAAACAAAAAUAAAAAAGAAAACUUUCAACAACGGAUCUCUUGGCUCUC